RNAcentral lists this ribosomal RNA (253 nucleotides) under uncultured bacterium. Its description in RNAcentral is "partial 16S ribosomal RNA". It matches the Rfam family "Bacterial small subunit ribosomal RNA", at positions 524 to 776 of the family's 1533-position model. The record is from RNAcentral.
UACGUAGGGGGCAAGCGUUGUCCGGAAUCAUUGGGCGUAAAGCGCGCGUAGGCGGCCCGGUAAGUCCGCUGUAAAAGUCCAGGGCUCAACCCUGGAAUGCCGGUGGAUACUGUCGGACUAGAGUACAGAAGGGGCAACUGGAAUUCUCGGUGUAGCGGUGAAAUGCGUAGAUAUCGAGAGGAACACCUGCGGCGAAGGCGGGUUGCUGGGCUGAUACUGACGCUGAGGCGCGAAAGCCAGGGGAGCGAACGGG